RNAcentral lists this ribosomal RNA (530 nucleotides) under Leptodontidium sp. RNAcentral describes it as "eukaryotic LSU rRNA". The stretch from base 233 to 386 matches the Rfam family "5.8S ribosomal RNA". Lineage: Eukaryota; Fungi; Ascomycota; Leotiomycetes; Helotiales; Leptodontidiaceae. The record is from RNAcentral.
AGAGCAAAGGAUAGACAGCGCCCGCGGAGCUCGCUCCCGGGGCUACCCUACUCCCGUAGGGUUUAGAGUCGUCGGGCCUCUCGGAGAAGCUCGGUCCUGAACUCCACCCUUGAAUAAACUACCUUUGUUGCUUUGGCGGGCCGCCUCGUGCCAGCGGCUUCGGCUGUUGAGUGCCCGCCAGAGGACCCCAACUCUUGUUUUUAGUGAUGUCUGAGUACUAUAUAAUAGUUAAAACUUUCAACAACGGAUCUCUUGGUUCUGGCAUCGAUGAAGAACGCAGCGAAAUGCGAUAAGUAAUGUGAAUUGCAGAAUUCAGUGAAUCAUCGAAUCUUUGAACGCACAUUGCGCCCUCUGGUAUUCCGGGGGGCAUGCCUGUUCGAGCGUCAUUAUAACCACUCAAGCUCUCGCUUGGUAUUGGGGUUCGCGGUUUCGCGGCCCCUAAAAUCAGUGGCGGUGCCUGUCGGCUCUACGCGUAGUAAUACUCCUCGCGAUUGAGUCCGGUAGGUCUACUUGCCAGCAACCCCUAAUUU